RNAcentral lists this small nuclear RNA (191 nucleotides) under Pelobates cultripes (western spadefoot toad). It matches the Rfam family "U2 spliceosomal RNA". Rfam says of the family: U2 is a small nuclear RNA (snRNA) component of the spliceosome (involved in pre-mRNA splicing). Lineage: Eukaryota; Metazoa; Chordata; Amphibia; Anura; Pelobatidae. The record is from RNAcentral.
AUCGCUUCUCGGCCUUUUGGCUAAGAUCAAGUGUUGUAUCUGUUCUUAUCAGUUUAAUAUCUGAUACGUCCCCUAUCUGGGGACCAUAUAUUAAAUGGAUUUUUGGGACAGGGAGAUGGAAGAAGAGCUUGCUCUGUCCACUCCAAGCAUUGACCUGGUAUUGCAGUACCUCCAGGACCGGUGCACCUCUC